RNAcentral lists this ribosomal RNA (293 nucleotides) under uncultured bacterium. RNAcentral's name for it is "partial 16S ribosomal RNA". It matches the Rfam family "Bacterial small subunit ribosomal RNA", at positions 505 to 797 of the family's 1533-position model. The record is from RNAcentral.
GUGCCAGCAGCCGCGGUAAUACGUAGGGUCCAAGCGUUAAUCGGAAUUACUGGGCGUAAAGCGUGCGCAGGCGGUUGUGCAAGACCGAUGUGAAAUCCCCGAGCUUAACUUGGGAAUUGCAUUGGUGACUGCACGGCUAGAGUGUGUCAGAGGGGGGUAGAAUUCCACGUGUAGCAGUGAAAUGCGUAGAGAUGUGGAGGAAUACCGAUGGCGAAGGCAGCCCCCUGGGAUAACACUGACGCUCAUGCACGAAAGCGUGGGGAGCAAACAGGAUUAGAAACCCCGGUAGUCCA